Molecule: ribosomal RNA, 410 nt
Filed under: Mandarina aureola
Lineage: Eukaryota; Metazoa; Mollusca; Gastropoda; Stylommatophora; Camaenidae
Description: partial 16S ribosomal RNA
Source: RNAcentral
AGUUUUGAGCUAAAUAUAUUUAUAAUAUUAGUUAUUUAUGAAGGUGUUGUAAAAUCUUUAUUUAAAAUUAUAUUUAGGGGUGACAGGCCUUUCAAAAACUAAGAUAUCUUGAAUCUAAUUAAAAGUAUGUAGUACAAUUAACACAACUAUUAAGUGAUUAGGCUUUAUAGAAUUAUUAACUUAUAAGAUUUUAUUUACUAUAAUUUAAUAAUUAAGUACAUAAAUAUAUUUAAUAUUCAUAUAUUAUAGUUUAUAAAAGAGUAAUUAGAUAGAUUUAAGUUCAUAUUUCUUAUAAUAAUGUUAAUAUUAGUAUUAAGUUUAUAUUUAUAUGAUGAACUCGGCAAAAAUACUUCUCAACUGUUUAUCAAAAACAUAACUAUGUGAAUGAAUACAUAGCGGUUUCUGCUCAA